This 1357-nucleotide ribosomal RNA is filed under the name uncultured Bacteroidales bacterium. RNAcentral's name for it is "bacterial SSU rRNA". It matches the Rfam family "Bacterial small subunit ribosomal RNA", at positions 28 to 1379 of the family's 1533-position model. The record is from RNAcentral. Lineage: Bacteria; Pseudomonadati; Bacteroidota; Bacteroidia; Bacteroidales.
GAUGAACGCUAGCGGCAGGCCUAACACAUGCAAGUCGAGGGGCAGCACAGAAAGUAGCUUGCUACUUUUGGUGGCGACCGGCAGACGGGUGCGUAACGCGUGUGCAACCUACCCUUAACAGGGAGAUAACGGAGGGAAACUUCCACUAAUACCCCAUAAUAUCCGGAAAGGCAUCUUUUCGGGUUGAAAGCUCCGGCGGUUAAGGAUGGGCACGCGUUGUAUUAGAUAGUUGGUGAGGUAACGGCUCACCAAGUCUACGAUACAUAGGGGGACUGAGAGGUUAACCCCCCACACUGGUACUGAGACACGGACCAGACUCCUACGGGAGGCAGCAGUGAGGAAUAUUGGUCAAUGGACGCAAGUCUGAACCAGCCAUGCCGCGUGCAGGAAGACGGCUCUAUGAGUUGUAAACUGCUUUUGCAAGAGGAUAAUUGCGGGUACGUGUACCCGCUUGAAGGUACCUUGCGAAUAAGGAUCGGCUAACUCCGUGCCAGCAGCCGCGGUAAUACGGAGGAUCCAAGCGUUAUCCGGAUUUAUUGGGUUUAAAGGGUGCGUAGGCGGCACAGUAAGUUAGAGGUGAAAUCCGGCGGCUCAACCGCCGAACUGCCUCUGAUACUGCUGGGCUAGAGACGAGAUGCCGUUGGCGGAAUGUGUAGUGUAGCGGUGAAAUGCUUAGAGAUUACACAGAACACCGAUUGCGAAGGCAGCUAACGAAUCUCGUUCUGACGUUGAGGCACGAAAGCGUGGGUAGUAAACAGGAUUAGAUACCCUGGUAGUCCACGCAGUAAACGAUGAUAGCUCGUUGUCGGCGAUACACUGUCGGUGACUUAGCGAAAGCGUUAAGCUAUCCACCUGGGGAGUACGUUCGCAAGAAUGAAACUCAAAGGAAUUGACGGGGGCCCGCACAAGCGGAGGAACAUGUGGUUUAAUUCGAUGAUACGCGAGGAACCUUACCCGGGCUUGAAAGUUAGUGACAGAGCUGGAAACAGCUCCUCCCUUCGGGGCACAAAACUAGGUGCUGCAUGGUUGUCGUCAGCUCGUGCCGUGAGGUGUCGGAUUAAGUUCCAUAACGAGCGCAACCCUUGCCGUUAGUUGCCAUCAGAUAAUGCUGGGCACUCUAACGGGACUGCCGGUGUAAACCGCGAGGAAGGUGGGGAUGACGUCAAAUCAGCACGGCCCUUACGUCCGGGGCGACACACGUGUUACAAUGGCAGGUACAGAGGGCCGCUACCCCGCGAGGGGAUGCUAAUCUCUAAAGCCUGUCUCAGUUCGGAUCGGAGGCUGAAACUCGCCUCCGUGAAGUUGGAUUCGCUAGUAAUCGCGCAUCAGCCAUGGCGCGGUGAAUACGUUCCCGGGC